GCGUGCCUAAUACAUGCAAGUCGAACGCUUCUUUCCUCCCGAGUGCUUGCACUCAAUUGGAAAGAGGAGUGGCGGACGGGUGAGUAACACGUGGGUAACCUACCCAUCAGAGGGGGAUAACACUUGGAAACAGGUGCUAAUACCGCAUAACAGUUUAUGCCGCAUGGCAUAAGAGUGAAAGGCGCUUUCGGGUGUCGCUGAUGGAUGGACCCGCGGUGCAUUAGCUAGUUGGUGAGGUAACGGCUCACCAAGGCCACGAUGCAUAGCCGACCUGAGAGGGUGAUCGGCCACACUGGGACUGAGACACGGCCCAGACUCUACGGGAGGCAGCAGUAGGGAAUCUUCGGCAAUGGACGAAAGUCUGACCGAGCAACGCCGCGUGAGUGAAGAAGGUUUUCGGAUCGUAAAACUCUGUUGUUAGAGAAGAACAAGGACGUUAGUAACUACUGAACGUCCCCUGACGGUAUCUAACCAGAAAGCCACGGCUAACUACGUGCCAGCAGCCGCGGAGGUAAUACGUAGGUGGCAAGCGUNGUCCGGAUUUAUNGGGCGUAAAGCGAGCGCAGGCGGUUUCUUCUUAAGUCUGAUGUGAAAGCCCCCGGCUCAACCGNNNAGGGUCAUNGGAAACUGGGAGANNGCUUGAGUGCAGAAGAGGAGANUGGAAUUCCAUGUGUAGCGGUGAAAUGCGUAGAUAUAUG
Molecule: ribosomal RNA, 698 nt
Filed under: Enterococcus faecalis
Lineage: Bacteria; Bacillati; Bacillota; Bacilli; Lactobacillales; Enterococcaceae
Description: bacterial SSU rRNA
Rfam family: Bacterial small subunit ribosomal RNA
Source: RNAcentral